This 403-nucleotide ribosomal RNA is filed under the name uncultured bacterium. RNAcentral describes it as "bacterial SSU rRNA". It matches the Rfam family "Bacterial small subunit ribosomal RNA", at positions 355 to 775 of the family's 1533-position model. The record is from RNAcentral.
UGGGGAAUUGUUCGCAAUGGACGAAAGUCUGACGCAGCAACGCCGCGUGAGGGAUGACGGCCUUCGGGUUGUAAACCUCUUUUGUCAGGGAAGAUAAUGACGGUACCUGGCGAAUAAGUCACGGCUAACUACGUGCCAGCAGCCGCGGUAAUACGUAGGUGACAAGCGUUGUCCGGAUUUACUGGGCGUAAAGAGCGCGCAGGCGGUCGAUCAAGUCGAGUGUGAAAGCCCCCGGCUCAACUGGGGAGGGUCAUUCGAUACUGAUCGACUCGAAGACAGGAGAGGGAAGUGGAAUUCCCGGUGUAGUGGUGAAAUGCGUAGAUAUCGGGAGGAACACCAGUGGCGAAGGCGACUUCCUGGCCUGUUCUUGACGCUGAGGCGCGAAAGCUAGGGGAGCAAACGG